CCGAGGAAAAGAAAUCAACCGAGAUUCCCCCAGUAGCGGCGAGCGAACGGGGAGCAGCCCAGAGCCUGAAUCAGUGUGUGUGUUAGUGGAAGCGUCUGGAAAGGCGCGCGAUACAGGGUGACAGCCCCGUACACAAAAAUGCACAUGCUGUGAGCUCGAUGAGUAGGGCGGGACACGUGGUAUCCUGUCUGAAUAUGGGGGGACCAUCCUCCAAGGCUAAAUACUCCUGACUGACCGAUAGUGAACCAGUACCGUGAGGGAAAGGCGAAAAGAACCCCGGCGAGGGGAGUGAAAAAGAACCUGAAACCGUGUACGUACAAGCAGUGGGAGCACGCUUCGGCGUGUGACUGCGUACCUUUUGUAUAAUGGGUCAGCGACUUAUAUUCUGUAGCAAGGUUAACCGAAUAGGGGAGCCGAAGGGAAACCGAGUCUUAACUGGGCGUUAAGUUGCAGGGUAUAGACCCGAAACCCGGUGAUCUAGCCAUGGGCAGGUUGAAGGUUGGGUAACACUAACUGGAGGACCGAACCGACUAAUGUUGAAAAAUUAGCGGAUGACUUGUGGCUGGGGGUGAAAGGCCAAUCAAACCGGGAGAUAGCUGGUUCUCCCCGAAAGCUAUUUAGGUAGCGCCUCGUGAAUUCAUCUCCGGGGGUAGAGCACUGUUUCGGCAAGGGGGUCAUCCCGACUUACCAACCCGAUGCAAACUGCGAAUACCGGAGAAUGUUAUCACGGGAGACACACGGCGGGUGCUAACGUCCGUCGUGAAGAGGGAAACAACCCAGACCGCCAGCUAAGGUCCCAAAGUCAUGGUUAAGUGGGAAACGAUGUGGGAAGGCCCAGACAGCCAGGAUGUUGGCUUAGAAGCAGCCAUCAUUUAAAGAAAGCGUAAUAGCUCACUGGUCGAGUCGGCCUGCGCGGAAGAUGUAACGGGGCUAAACCAUGCACCGAAGCUGCGGCAGCGACGCUGAUGCGUUGUUGGGUAGGGGAGCGUUCUGUAAGCCUGCGAAGGUGUGCUGUGAGGCAUGCUGGAGGUAUCAGAAGUGCGAAUGCUGACAUAAGUAACGAUAAAGCGGGUGAAAAGCCCGCUCGCCGGAAGACCAAGGGUUCCUGUCCAACGUUAAUCGGGGCAGGGUGAGUCGACCCCUAAGGCGAGGCCGAAAGGCGUAGUCGAUGGGAAACAGGUUAAUAUUCCUGUACUUGGUGUUACUGCGAAGGGGGGACGGAGAAGGCUAUGUUGGCCGGGCGACGGUUGUCCCGGUUUAAGCGUGUAGGCUGGUUUUCCAGGCAAAUCCGGAAAAUCAAGGCUGAGGCGUGAUGACGAGGCACUACGGUGCUGAAGCAACAAAUGCCCUGCUUCCAGGAAAAGCCUCUAAGCAUCAGGUAACAUCAAAUCGUACCCCAAACCGACACAGGUGGUCAGGUAGAGAAUACCAAGGCGCUUGAGAGAACUCGGGUGAAGGAACUAGGCAAAAUGGUGCCGUAACUUCGGGAGAA
RNAcentral lists this ribosomal RNA (1492 nucleotides) under Escherichia coli. RNAcentral describes it as "partial 23S ribosomal RNA". It matches the Rfam family "Bacterial large subunit ribosomal RNA", at positions 211 to 1744 of the family's 2925-position model. The record is from RNAcentral. Lineage: Bacteria; Pseudomonadati; Pseudomonadota; Gammaproteobacteria; Enterobacterales; Enterobacteriaceae.